AUGUACCACUCGUACACUCCGGUUCCUGCGCGCCGUCCGCGCCCACCUGACGGCUGCUCGCUACGUUUUGUUGGCC
RNAcentral lists this small RNA (76 nucleotides) under Xanthomonas prunicola. RNAcentral describes it as "sX9 sRNA". It matches the Rfam family "Xanthomonas sRNA sX9". The record is from RNAcentral. Lineage: Bacteria; Pseudomonadati; Pseudomonadota; Gammaproteobacteria; Lysobacterales; Lysobacteraceae.